GACGAACGCUGGCGGCGUGCUUAACACAUGCAAGUCGAACGGAAAGGCCCAGCUUGCUGGGUGCUCGAGUGGCGAACGGGUGAGUAACACGUGGGUGAUCUGCCCCUAACUUCGGGAUAAGCUUGGGAAACUGGGUCUAAUACCGGAUAGGACAAUCGUUUAGUGUCGGUUGUGGAAAGUUUUUUCGGUUAGGGAUGAGCCCGCGGCCUAUCAGCUUGUUGGUGGGGUAAUGGCCUACCAAGGCGUCGACGGGUAGCCGACCUGAGAGGGUGGACGGCCACAUUGGGACUGAGAUACGGCCCAGACUCCUACGGGAGGCAGCAGUGGGGAAUAUUGCACAAUGGGCGCAAGCCUGAUGCAGCGACGCCGGGUGGGGGAUGACGGCCUUCGGGUUGUAAACCUCUUUCGACAGGGACGAAGCUUUGGUGACGGUACCUGUAGAAGAAGCUCCGGCUAACUACGUG
This 464-nucleotide ribosomal RNA is filed under the name uncultured bacterium. Its description in RNAcentral is "partial 16S ribosomal RNA". It matches the Rfam family "Bacterial small subunit ribosomal RNA", at positions 28 to 507 of the family's 1533-position model. The record is from RNAcentral.